RNAcentral lists this ribosomal RNA (445 nucleotides) under uncultured bacterium. Its description in RNAcentral is "partial 16S ribosomal RNA". It matches the Rfam family "Bacterial small subunit ribosomal RNA", at positions 354 to 796 of the family's 1533-position model. The record is from RNAcentral.
GUGAGGAAUAUUGGACAAUGGGCGCAAGCCUGAUCCAGCCAUGCCGCGUGCAGGAAGACGCAUCUAUGGUGUGUAAACUGCUUUUGUACGGGAAGAAACACUCCCUCGUGAGGGAGCUUGACGGUACCGUAAGAAUAAGGAUCGGCUAACUCCGUGCCAGCAGCCGCGGUAAUACGGAGGAUCCAAGCGUUAUCCGGAAUCAUUGGGUUUAAAGGGUCCGUAGGCGGUUUAAUAAGUCAGUGGUGAAAGACCAUCGCUCAACGAUGGAACGGCCAUUGAUACUGUUAGACUUGAAUUACAAGGAAGUAACUAGAAUAUGUAGUGUAGCGGUGAAAUGCUUAGAUAUUACAUGGAAUACCAAUUGCGAAGGCAGGUUACUACUUGUGGAUUGACGCUGAUGGACGAAAGCGUGGGGAGCGAACAGGAUUAGAAACCCUUGUAGUCC